This 492-nucleotide ribosomal RNA is filed under the name uncultured Brevibacterium sp. Its description in RNAcentral is "partial 16S ribosomal RNA". Lineage: Bacteria; Bacillati; Actinomycetota; Actinomycetes; Micrococcales; Brevibacteriaceae. The record is from RNAcentral.
CACGUAGUUAGCCGGUACUUCUUCUGCAGGUACCGUCACCCAAAGGCUUCUUCCCUACUGAAAGAGGUUUACAACCCGAAGGCCGUCAUCCCCCACGCGGCGUCGCUGCAUCAGGGUUUCCCCCAUUGUGCAAUAUUCCCCACUGCUGCCUCCCGUAGGAGUCUGGGCCGUGUCUCAGUCCCAGUGUGGCCGGUCGCCCUCUCAGGCCGGCUACCCGUCGUCGUCUUGGUAGGCCAUUACCCCACCAACAAACUGAUAGGCCGCGAGCCCAUCCCCAACCGAAAAAACUUUCCACCACCAAACAUGCGAAAGAUGGUCAUAUCCGGUAUUAGACCCAGUUUCCCAGGCUUAUCCCGAAGUCAGGGGCAGGUUACUCACGUGAUACUCACCCGUUCGCCACUCAUCCACCCAGUGCAAGCACCAAGCUUCAGCGUUCGACUUGCAUGUGUUAAGCACGCCGCCAGCGUUCGUCCUGAGCCAGGAUCAAACUCU